Molecule: long non-coding RNA, 215 nt
Filed under: Theobroma cacao (cacao)
Lineage: Eukaryota; Viridiplantae; Streptophyta; Magnoliopsida; Malvales; Malvaceae
Description: long non-coding RNA (TCAC_LNC006477)
Source: RNAcentral
AAAGGCUCGUCAUUAGCAAUAUUUCAUCCAUUCAAGUACAAGCUUUUGUGGUGUUCUCCCCGAUCACUUGAGGGAGUAUAAUAUAGCAAAAUGAUAAUUUAGGAGUCUAAAGUACCUUUUUUUUGGGGAUAGCAAGAGAAAGUUGUACAACAAUGACAAGGGGAGCAAAAAGCCGUGUCAAAUAAACAAUUCCCCAACCCUAGCAACUGUACAAA